GCCGAGCUCAUUAGCGGGGAGCUUGUAACCCGAGCGGGGGCAACAGGGUGGGUUCGGACGUUUGGUGGUGUUGUUGGGUCUGGGCUGCAGCUGUGCGAGGGGCUGGCCCGCCCGGUCCAAGUUGGGUAGUGGGCCAUGUGGGCCCAGGCGGAGGCUUGGGUCAAGUGGGCCCUGAAGUGGAGGAUAUUGCGUGAGGCUGGCUUCACAGAGCUGCGAACACCUCCCGCUCUCAACGGUGGACGGAUUACGGGCCGCCGCAUUCUGAGUUCAAUAUGGCCCAGAGGCCCACUCAAAUGGACACCCACUUUU
This 309-nucleotide signal recognition particle RNA is filed under the name Ananas comosus (pineapple). RNAcentral describes it as "Plant signal recognition particle RNA". It matches the Rfam family "Plant signal recognition particle RNA". Lineage: Eukaryota; Viridiplantae; Streptophyta; Magnoliopsida; Poales; Bromeliaceae. The record is from Rfam by way of RNAcentral.